CCAAGGCAUGCCUCAGUAGCGGCGAGUGAGCGGCAAAAGCUCAGAUUUGAAAUCGUGUUUCGGCACGAGUUGUAGAUUGCAGGUUGGAGUCUUUGUGGAAGCGUGUGUCUAAGUCCCUUGGAACAGGGUGCCAUUGAGGGUGAGAGCCCCGUGAGACGCGUGCGGAAGCUGUAAGGCCCUUCUGACGAGUCGAGUUGUUUGGGAAUGCAGCUCUAAGUGGGUGGUAAAUUCCAUCUAAGGCUAAAUAUUGGCGAGAGACCGAUAGCGAACAAGUACUGUGAAGGAAAGAUGAAAAGCACUUUGAAAAGAGAGUGAAACAGCACGUGAAAUUGUUGAAAGGGAAGGGUAUUGGGCUCGACAUGGGAUUUGCGCACCGCUGCUCCUUGUGGGCGGCGCUCUGUGCUUUUCCUGGGCCAGCAUCGGUUUUUGCCGCAGGAGAAGGCGUGCUGGAAUGUGGCUCUUCGGAGUGUUAUAGCCAGUGCGAGAUGCUGCGUGCGGGGACCGAGGACUGCGACAUCUGUCUCGGAUGCUGGCACAACGGCGCAAUACCGCCCGUCUUGAACCCAGGGACCCA
RNAcentral lists this ribosomal RNA (574 nucleotides) under Pichia occidentalis. RNAcentral describes it as "eukaryotic LSU rRNA". It matches the Rfam family "Eukaryotic large subunit ribosomal RNA", at positions 68 to 669 of the family's 3401-position model. Lineage: Eukaryota; Fungi; Ascomycota; Pichiomycetes; Pichiales; Pichiaceae. The record is from RNAcentral.